This 86-nucleotide non-coding RNA is filed under the name Ectopseudomonas toyotomiensis. The record is from RNAcentral. Lineage: Bacteria; Pseudomonadati; Pseudomonadota; Gammaproteobacteria; Pseudomonadales; Pseudomonadaceae.
UUCUAUGGUGGGCCGUGCGGGGCAGGCUUUUGCCUGGCCGGUUCCCUUGGUUCCCGGUUGUCACCCCCGUGCGGUCCACCACCAAU